RNAcentral lists this non-coding RNA (53 nucleotides) under Tetraselmis sp. GSL018. The record is from RNAcentral. Lineage: Eukaryota; Viridiplantae; Chlorophyta; Chlorodendrophyceae; Chlorodendrales; Chlorodendraceae.
GGAGGGGGACUUCCGGCAGGGGUUUGGGGUCGUACGGGUGAACUCCUGCAUGA